GUGAGUAACGCGUGGGGACCUACCUCUUAGUGGGGGAUAACGGUUGGAAACGACCGCUAAUACCGCAUACGCCCUUCGGGGGAAAGAUUUAUCGCUAAGAGAUGGACCCGCGUUGGAUUAGAUAGUUGGUGAGGUAACGGCUCACCAAGUCAGCGAUCCAUAGCUGGUUUGAGAGGAUGAUCAGCCACACUGGGACUGAGACACGGCCCAGACUCCUACGGGAGGCAGCAGUGGGGAAUAUUGGACAAUGGGGGCAACCCUGAUCCAGCCAUGCCGCGUGAGUGAAGAAGGCCUUCGGGUUGUAAAGCUCUUUCAGAUGCGAAGAUGAUGACGGUAACAUCAGAAGAAGCCCCGGCUAAUUUCGUGCCAGCAGCCGCGGUAAUACGAAAGGGGCUAGCGUUGUUCGGAUUUACUGGGCGUAAAGGGCACGCAGGCGGUCUUGCCAGUCAGGGGUGAAAGCCCGGGGCUCAACCCCGGAACUGCCUCUGAU
Molecule: ribosomal RNA, 490 nt
Filed under: marine sediment bacterium BB0608_AND_6.1_4S0
Lineage: Bacteria
Description: bacterial SSU rRNA
Rfam family: Bacterial small subunit ribosomal RNA
Source: RNAcentral